AUCCAGCUGACGAGUCUCAAAUAGGACAAAACGUGAGUCAAACUGGAU
Non-coding RNA from Schistosoma rodhaini, 48 nucleotides. Lineage: Eukaryota; Metazoa; Platyhelminthes; Trematoda; Strigeidida; Schistosomatidae. The record is from Rfam.